RNAcentral lists this ribosomal RNA (1524 nucleotides) under Triticum aestivum (bread wheat). Its description in RNAcentral is "partial small subunit ribosomal RNA". Lineage: Eukaryota; Viridiplantae; Streptophyta; Magnoliopsida; Poales; Poaceae. The record is from RNAcentral.
AUGGCCAUGACAUCCCCGAACAGCAGAGCACUGGAACGGUACAAGAGCGCCGUCACGACGGCAACUUCCGUGCUGGGCGCGGCCAUGCUGCUGCGCCGGGUGCUCGCCGACGUCCUCCCAGGCACGGCCCUCGGCGCGUUGCUCCUCCUGCCGCCAGCCUCCGCCCGGCGCCACGCCGUGCUCAUCGAGGAGUUCGACGGCACCCUGUACAACCGUGUCUUCUUGGUGGCCAAGGCGUACGUUUCCACGCUCCUCGCCGCGGCACCGUUCGUGCCGCUGAUGAAGGCCAGCCUGCCUCGCGGGGCUGGUGCGGAGCACGUCCUGCUCGCCCUGCGCCCCGGCACGGCGGUCGUCGACGUGUUCGACGGGGCGAAGGUCACGUGGCGCCUAAGCAGGAAGCACGACGGGGGCGCCGGCAGGCGGCGGGCCACGGAGGACGCGCGCGAGGUGUUCAAGCUCAGCUUCGACGCCGAGCACAAGGACAUGGUGCUCGGCUCCUACCUGCCGGCCGUCAUGGCCCGCGUGGAGGCCAUGUCCCAGGAGCAGAGGCAGACCAAGCUGUACAGCAACGAGUGGGGCAAGUGGCGGACAGUGAGGCUCCGCAACGCCUCGACGUUCGCGACGGUGGCCAUGGACGACGCGCUGCGGCAGGCUGUGGUGGACGACCUGGACAGGUUCUUGACCCGGAAGGAGUACUACCGGCAGACGGGGAGGGCGUGGAAGAGGGGCUACCUGGUCCACGGCCCGCCCGGCACCGGCAAGUCCAGCCUGGUCGCCGCGAUCUCCAACCACCUCCAUUUCGACGUGUAUGACCUCGACGUCGGCGGCGUCAGGUCCAACACCGAGCUGAGGAAACUGCUGAUUCGGAUGAAGAACAGGUCCAUAUUGUUGGUCGAAGAUGUCGACUGCGCCAUGGCGACGGCGCCACGGAGAGAGGCGACGGGAAGCUCCGACGGGGGCAGCCCUGCUUCCAAGAAUCACAAGGUCACUCUGUCCGGGCUGCUCAACAUGGUGGACGGCCUCUGGUCCAGCAGCGGCCAUGAGCGGAUCCUCAUCUUCACCACCAACCACAAAGACCGGCUAGACCCGGCGCUGCUCCGGCCUGGCCGGAUGGACAUGCACGUCCACAUGGGCUACUGCGGCUUCGUCGCCUUCAGGGAGCUCGCGGCCAACUACCACGGCAUCCAAGACCACCGGCUCUUCCCGGAGAUCGAGGCGCUUCUGCGGGAGGUGGAGGUGGCACCGGCGGAGGUCGCCGAGAGGCUGCUUAUGACCGACGAUGCCGAUGCCGCUGUCGAGAUGGCCGCGAAGCUGCUGAGAGACAGGAAGGCGGGGACCGGGGAAGAUGGCGGGUACAUCAAGCAGAAACUGCACGUAGGGCCUAGGCGCCCGCGUCGGCCCCCGGCUGCAAGACGGGCGGUGCUUGACGAGGGAAUUGGUGGGUCCUCACGACGAGGCCAGGGGCGUGGACCAGGGGCAGGGCGACGUGGCCGGGGUGAGGUGCGCGGACGAGGACGGCGAUAG